This is a transfer RNA of Puccinia graminis f. sp. tritici, 118 nucleotides long. It matches the Rfam family "tRNA". Rfam says of the family: Transfer RNA (tRNA) molecules are approximately 80 nucleotides in length. Their secondary structure includes four short double-helical elements and three loops (D, anti-codon, and T loops). Further hydrogen bonds mediate the characteristic L-shaped molecular structure. tRNAs have two regions of fundamental functional importance: the anti-codon, which is responsible for specific mRNA codon recognition, and the 3' end, to which the tRNAs corresponding amino acid is attached (by aminoacyl-tRNA synthetases). tRNAs cope with the degeneracy of the genetic code in two manners: having more than one tRNA (with a specific anti-codon) for a particular amino acid; and 'wobble' base-pairing, i.e. permitting non-standard base-pairing at the 3rd anti-codon position. The record is from Rfam. NCBI's taxonomy places the organism in Eukaryota, Fungi, Basidiomycota, Pucciniomycetes, Pucciniales, Pucciniaceae.
GUCUCCGUGGCGCAAUUGGUUAGCGCGUUCGACUGUUAGCGCCGUCGCAAUUCCAACUUACAACGCUUCAUGCCGGGGUCUCAUCGAGAGGUUGACAGUUCAAUCCUGUCCGGGGACG